This is a long non-coding RNA of Athalia rosae (coleseed sawfly), 16906 nucleotides long. RefSeq lists it as uncharacterized. The transcript has 2 exons. Lineage: Eukaryota; Metazoa; Arthropoda; Insecta; Hymenoptera; Athaliidae. The record is from RefSeq and is a predicted model, not a curated record.
CAUCGGAUCGUCGCGGAUCCAGAGUCAAGGUAGAACAUUCUCUCGGCCAAUUAUUAUGUGUAUACCGCGAAACUCUGCGCUAUAGAGUGGGUGCACGUAAAAUAUAUCGAAUUGAUAUAAAACGGGCGUAAAAAAUUGUUUACAUCAAACGGGAAGUUUGUUUUCGUGACAAAGCCGGAAACUAUACUCUCGUUCUAUCGAAUUACUGUACGUUGCGUACUCGUAACGAUUGUGCAGGUAUAAAGUACACCUGUCGAGGUUUAUUCGGAAUGAACUCGUGGCCAAGAGUCGUCAGCCGGACAAAAAACUAUUAUAAAGCUGAAGCGUACUUGAAAAUUCGUCCAUUUCGAUCGCGGGCGUGGAAUUAUCCAGAAUCAAUAUAAAUAUUGAAUCAUAUAUCGUGCUAAUUUCAAUGAACGAAAAAUUGUUCCGAAGAUUUUCAACCGACUUUGUACAUCCUGUUUCGUUUUUUUUUUUUAUUCUUAUCCGGUAAUGGAGCAGAUCAAGACUGUCGUACUUUCCUGUCUUUUAAUUGAAUAAUUCACUUUGGCCUCCGAAGAUUCAGUUAUUUUCCUUAAAGUUUUGAAACGGGAGAAUCUGUAGAAAACGUUGCUAAAUGUCAGGUAUGGGGGUAAAAACAUUCUGCACCGCAAUGUGAAUGACUUGGGAAAUAAAUAAAGAACAUUCCGUACGUCAUUGCUGUGCAGAUGUGUUAAUGAGCAGUGGAAUAAAAUGUAAAACCAUUAAUUAUACUGUCUCUAUUCAAACAUCGAGAAAUCAUAUAUUGAUUCCUAUUUUCAUAUUCUGUGUAGCAUAAAUUCGAUUUUUUUCAUAAAUAUAAUUUACUUUCUUUUCGCGAUUGAUCGGAAUAUCCGAUGCAAGAUUAUAACGUUUGAGUUUCGAGUUAUCGACGUUUAUAAUGUAUACGUAUACAUAAACCGUUUGAAAAUAUCGAUUCGGGUUUCACUUUCUAGUUUAUGUUUUCGACAAUAUAAUUGGAUUCGUUCGUAGGUCGAUUAAAUUUCACAGCGUUUGUCUCUCCGAAGAUUUCUCUGUUAGAAACGUCUGUGGUCAGAAAUCGUUUCCGAUUUACGAUCAAGAUGCCCCCUAGUGACCGCCGGGACGUAAUACCGUUUUGAUGAUGAGUCCGAUUGAAAACGUACGCAAAAAUACACGUUCGAAGCCCGGAUCAAUUGAGAGUUGCUUACGUAAGUUCAUGUUCAUUAAUCCAACAAUUGCGACGCGCGGAAGUUUCCAUUCUUCGAAUAAAACAGUAACAAUUGUAUACACAUUACAAGACUCGUUAUUCCGCUGUACACACGAGUCUCUGGGGAUUUCGGAUAAUACCGAGAACGAGACUCGCUUGUAAGCUCAAUACAUUUCUUCGUACAAAUAUGCUAAUUUAGGACUCCGGUAUUUUCCUACGACCUGCACACUACACUCAUUCGUUAAACUUUGCGAACACCUCGCUGAAUAUUAAUAAACAAAAUGUCAACAAACAUUUCAAGGCAAACUCAACCGGCAGUCGUACCGUUGAGUAGCAUGUGGGUCUAUGAUCUAAGGUAAAUGAUCAUCGGUCGAAUACUAGUUUCUUUUUCUUUUUACAAAUCUUUUUUGUAGUUACACGGUGACUCGGAGUUGGGAUACCCCUCGUUACAGUGAUUCUAAGAAUCAGAGUCCUUGGAUUUGACGAAAAUUUUGUUUGCGGACGUUGACGUCAAUAUUUCAAAGCCUCUAAACUCAUAUUCGUGCAUUCCGAACCUAACUACGUUACUUCUGAUGGCUAUCUAAUACCGUAAACUCGGGCGUAAACGUGAUGGGCAUCGCGUGUGCUUCGACGAGUGUUGAAUCGAUCGCUCAAGUGGGGGACACAGAACAAAACAAAACGUUAAUAUAACAAGUGUCGAAAACACAGCCGUUAUCGUACGCAGCAUCGUAUAACGUUAUACGCAUACGUAUACACGGGAUCCGUGCAGAUCAAAACUGGUUUCCUCUGGAAUUACCAAAUUAUGUUGCGUAUAUCAAAACGAACGGUCGCGGAGUGUGCCCGCCGUUUUUAUUAUCAUCAUUAUUUUUUUACGAAAAUAUUACAGGCGCAUAUCCACGAGCGUAUGACACGUGGUCGCAGAUAACAUCGCGGGCAUUUUACAUUUUAUUAUUCAUUUCACUAUGGAACGGCAAUAAACAAACAAUUAAGAGAAGCCAUCGACCGAAAAUACGGAAGUCUCUUACACGCUCCCGACUUAUCGUCUGUCGUCGAACCUGUCGUUAGAUUAUGUGCUGCAGGUAAUGGAGUUGCAACGGACGUGUCACGGGUGCAUUGGAAGAGGAAAAACAUCAAAAAAAUUAAAACAAUAAAAAAUUCACAGUUUUUCUUUUUUUAGAUCAAUCGUGCGAGUUAAUAUACUAAUUAAUUAUGCAGAUGCUUUGAUUUAUUGAAAUUUGAAAAAUGGGGAUAUACAGUCAAUGCGAUUCGAAUAUCUUACGAACGUCUUUUUCGCCUCGAUUAAAACCGCGUUUCCAUCGCAUACUUUACGACGUAUAUAUCGAUAAGCCAAAAUCGUUUGUAUAAAAAUAUACCCACGCCAAGCAAUAUUAUGGAAUUAGUUGAAGAAAUCUAAAUAAAACAUCGAAUGGUGUUUGAUGUGACGAUCGUCUAAUGUGAAGCGCGUUAACUUCGGGAAAAUUUCUCUCACACUCUAAUUGAAUAUUGUGUGUAUUCGUCGUAUUCGUCGUUUCUACAUUUUUCUAGAUUGUUCUGCCAAAUGCUCAACUGCCAGCAGCUGUUACAGGCGUCAUGUUGACUGAAGACCAGCAGGUACCGAAUUCACUGGAAGAACAGCAUAGUGCUGGUCGACCCUGAUAUUGGCAAGUUUCAGAUGAGUUAUUGUAAACUAAAUUAAUGGGGGUCGGUUGAAGGUACAUUUAUUUUUUCACAACAGGAACUCGAUCCCAAUUCUAUUGCGUCGUUUGUGGCGUGUGGGGAAAAAGAUUGAUCAUUCGGUAAUUAGAGUCGUGCAUCACCUCAAUUUGGAUGUUUCCCGAACAUGCAGAUAGCGUCUGCUCUAGUUUCUGUAUUGAAUCGCCGGUAAAUCCAUCGUAUCAUCGAUAACGAUGAUCGAUCUAAUUGAUCAGUAUAAAUGUCAUAUAGGUGUGUAUAAAGGGUGUCUCGGAAUUCGCGCCAAGUAUAAGUACAUAAUGUUGAUCCUUACCUUUACUUCCCUAUUCUAGUUUCUUACGAGGAUCAAUGUUACGUACUAACUUGGCGCGAAGUUCGAGACACCCUGUAUAUGUGUUCUAGAUACACAGAAAAAGAAAAAGAGCACAGGCGGUAUGUUCAACAAUUUGCGAUGCUACUGGGCCUUUACGUGAUCCUGAUCAAUAUUUCAAAUGUUUUGAACCGUAAUUGUUAUACCUGCGUGCAAUGUACUUGACGACAACGAUUGAUUCCCACACUUCUUGCUCCAAUGAAAAGUUUUUUUUACUGACUAUGAGUUGAUAUUUACGGCAUUCGAAAUGGUCGAUGAUUUUUUCUUAGUGAUUUUUUUUUUUUAUCUACUCCAAAACGUUUUUCUUUUUUUUUUUUGUGCCCGACGGAGCUAGCUACUCAAUGGCUAUAUGUGGAUUCCAGUUCUAUUUUUGGGGUACACGUUGCUGAUCUACAGCAUUCUAGAGGUUGUCAUUUGAAAUCUCCGCGACCAGACGAGAGUCUACGAGUUAUUUUCGUCCAGACUCCAGACAACCGGACCAGCCGCCAUGCAUAUUCACGAGAUUUGAAAUGAGAUGAAGAAAAAAAAAAAAACAUAUCAAGGGGAGUACGAAGUUUUUUCAAUUCAUUGCUAAUACAUGAUGAUGAUCCACAUCUAACUGAGAAAUUAAAACUCGUUUCACACGUGCAAGUAAUUAACGUCGAAGGCUGCGAUUGUAUAUUAUAUAGUUUCCCUAUAUCUAUGUGUGGCAUUAAAUGGAAUAGUCGACUUACGAAUUCACUUCGACGUUAAAAAAGUAAAUAGAAAACGUCGUAUGUAAUUCGUGAAUCGCUUUCUUCCUGCGUCGAAUUAAUUCAAUGCAACGGUCGCCUGGUUGGAACUUUGGUCAGAAUUUUAUCGUAAAUCGAUUAGGGGUCUCCGGUAUCUGAUGUAACAUCAAUUGAUGGACAUUAACCGAAAUCCAGAAUGAAGGAAAUAGAAAAAAAAAGAUAUUCGAGGUGUACAUGUAUAAUCAGGUCGAGGUUUCGCCCCGAUCAACUCGGUCGAUUAUCAGGUGUCCACUUGAGUUUCCGCAGUUAUACAAUCAUCAAGUGAUACAUAAUCGCUAAAUGGAAUUCUUGUGGAAAACUACUCACAAUUAGAACUGAUUGCCCUCGCUGCCUAAAUCCUCAAAUCCGAUUGUAUAACACGCCGAAGAAGAUUCCACGGUGGAAAAAAUUUUUCACAACGCUCGUUUAGCUCGUUACAUCCAAACGAUUUGGCGCUCAUAAUAUUCGUUCAGCUAUCCUAGAACUAUUCUAAAUUAUAUAGAUCUGUCUGUCCAAGAAAAUUUAUGUCAUCAUUAUAAAACUUGUCCAAUUCUCUACCCAUAAAAUAUUUUUACAUACGUUUAAAAAAAAAAAAGAAGAGAGAAUCGGUAUAGAUUUUCAGAUGAUAAUUUUGCGGAAUUCCGAACAACUUUAUCGCGUUUUUUCACGGUGUGAUUUUCUUUUCCAUUUUUUUUUUUUUUUGUUUUUUUUUUCUUUUUUAGUGAUUAGCGAACGCGUACGUUUAUGCAUUCCACUUGAACGCGUUGCAUCAUGGGUCGUAUUUGUAUAAACAAUGUUGAUUCAUCGGAAUAAGUCAGUCGACGUCACCUCUGGUGAGCCAUAAGUAUUGAGGAAUGUUUUAUUAAACGUGAUUCCCUGUAGUUUUAUUUUUUUUUACGUCCUUGCCCAGUUCAAGGUGGUGGUGUUAUUACUAUAUACAUAUUCAAAUCAACAGCGAUAACUAACCGCUAGGAGGGUAAUUUUUUCAUUAUGUACAAUAAAUCCGUUCAAUUGUUCAAAUUAAAGAGAUGACGUCAUAGGUUAAAAUGGAGCAAGCGAAAGCGGCUUAAAUAUGUAUCAACUAUGGACGUAACGCAGGGUACGUAUACAUCUAUAUCCUCACGAAAUAUUUUUCUACGGAUUAGACUAUCAUUGGAAACGUUUAGUCAAUAAACAUACAUAAUACAUAUGUAUGUGUACGUAUACAUUCUUUAUAUAUGAAAAAACUUAAGCUGCAUCGGCGCACCUGUGCUACGGUAUAAUGAACCAUAACACUAAUAAAUAUAUGUAUCGAGUAAAGGUUUAUCACCUGCCGCCCGAUCGUAUUUUGUUUUCAAGGUGAUGAAAAAUAUCCGAAUAAUAACAAUGAAUAAAAGUUGAGAAACAUUGUUCAUUACAGUGGCGAUAUUUCAUUACGUAUGUGCAUACCCGUUCCACGCAGCUGCAAUACUCGUGGUCCCACGAGGCCCAAGAUCAAGAGUUCAUUCCGCAGUAAAAGAAGGCUACUUCGGUAAGUGUAUCCAGAGAAACCGGUCCGGGGAUCCCCGCGUUAUUUAUUUCCUGUUGCACCGCGUUGACAAUGAGGCGAAGAGACAUAAAACUCGAGAAAACGAUACUACAUCACUCUAUAAUGGUAUUAUAUCUAGGCGUAAAAAGAUCCCAGUGAUUCCCUACGUUGGAAAUAUCAUACUUAAUAGGUAUGAUUUAGAUGCCCUUCAACUCAUCGUACCCAGAGGCGCGCAUUUCCUGCAACUGUGAUCGAAGGAAAUGCAAAAAAUUCACGUGUAAUAUAAGCCAUGAGCGACAUAAAUUAUCGGCGCGUAUGACAAAAACGCGAAGGAGACCGUGACCAGCAAAUCAUCAGGCAUCCCAUUAGAAACGGGUCUGCAGUCAGUAUGUCGAUGGAUCGAGAUUCGCGGCAGCGACGAAUCGUCGACGAGUACCGCGUGGCGGACCCCACAUGCGGAAUUUCAUUCGGAUCUGUCGAAAUAGUGACCGUCAAAGUUAGUGAAAAAACGGAAUCUUCGUUUUCUCGUUCGCAGAACCGAACUUGGGACACUGAUAUCUUUCGAAUCGUUGCACGGAUUUGCAAGAUCAGAGUCGUUUUGACUUUCUCCGUCAAGUACUGCAAAGGACGGACGCAACCGCCAAGUUUACUCGUAUGAUUUUAGAUAACUUGGCUUUCAGACUGCCUCUGAAUUCCAGACGACAUCUAUUUGCGCAAAGGUCUCAGUACUCGGCGUCAUAUUUUUAUUUCACUGCAAAGAUAAAGCGCAAGUUUUUGAUAGAGUAGCCUGCAAAGGUACUUGGCGGCUCUCUUUUUGCCUCUGGAAAGUUUUUGGCGUUUUUUGUGAAAUAUGUUAUACGGGCUUCGACGGAUCUAUCAGAUGGUGAUAUCUAUAUUUCCAUAAUUCUACUAUUUGAAUAUUUAUCGUGAUUCGAUGAAGCCGUAUCGUACGGAACUAAAAAAAAAAUUGAGGAGCUCAGCACGGCUGCAAUUUCGCCAACUCAAAAACAGACGCAACUUAUUAUUAUUAUACUUAUAUACGCGCAUAUAUUAAUAAAUAUGCCGAUGGAAUUCUUUCUUCUUUUUUUAGACCAUGCAGAUGCUGCUCACUUUGCAGGAGAACCGUUUCACCGGUUGUGUUCCACCUACCCUCGGGUUAUUUGCAACUCAUUCGAUUCGUCGGUUAGAAUUUUCGAGACGCAAAACUGGGCGCAUCGUCCGGUCCCAUUCAACGGUCUUGAUCGAGGUCUCGACGGCGGUUUCCUCAUCGCGGCAAAAGCUGCAAGGCUAUCGUCGCGAGAGACCUUUGACUUCGAUUGGCUUCGAUCCCGCCCCGAGCGUAUGCCUGUAUUUUGCAGUGUGGAUUUUUCUCUCGCGAUCGCUCUCGGGAACAUUUCGCGUAAAAUUCACUCCGCGAAAGUGAUGGAAAGUAAAAUGAAUAAAAAUCAAUCGAUGAUCGCGCGACUGGUACAUCGAGCAACGUUCUUCGGUCAAAUGUAAAUAAAUAACAUAAUUAUGGACGAGGAUGAAAAAAUAAUAGAAUAACAGAACUUCGUAUCGUUACAAUAUAAUUGAUGCGUUCUGAAAAGCCGAUGACCGUAUGUGACUACUCCGAUAUUCGUUGCAGUUUUUAAUGUACGAACAUGAUUUUCCCGACGGCUCAUUUAGCUCAGAAGCAUACAAAUCUAUGUCAGAAGUUUCCGAUGAGUUCAUUCGUGAUUCUGGGGUAACUGGGAAAGGUAUAUUAUUCACCACCAUUAAAUUAGGAAAUAAUCAACAGGAUGUAGUAAAUUGCGGUUUGGAUCAUCGACUCUUUUACAUGAAUUUCACCUCUAGUAGAUACGAAAAAUUGAAAAAAAAAAAGAAAAAGAAUGACUGACUAACCAGAAUUCUGUUGAAUUCAAGGGGCCAUCGCGAGUCGAUGUCGCAGUCACGAGCCGCCUGCGGAGUCAAAGAAACCGGAAUGCUUGCCGUAGGAAGAAAGAAAUCCAACAUGUGAGAAAAAAAUGAAUAAUAAUGAGAAAAAAAAAAAAAUGAAAUGCAACGAACGAAAAUUUUCAGGUAAAUGCGAUAAACCGAUCGGAGCGAUUCUUACGAGUCGAGGCAGAAAAGUUAAAAACACAUUUCGAUUGUUUUUUAUUUCAUCAAUGUUUAUUGCUGCGCGUUAUUGGAAUUCCGCAACCUUUCGUAUUGUUCCAUCCGUCGAAUGAUCCCUCCCUCACUAUUCCACUUAUGGUCUAAACGUGUUAUAGAAGACUAGAUGUUUGACUUAUUUCUGCGAAGAUUUCGAACUGUCCAAAUGAAAUUCAUGAUUUGCAAAACCAGAUGUUCCGUUGACUUCAAGCUAAAAAAAAAUGAAUUUAAUCGAAGAAAGAAAAAUAAUAUUUAAUCACAACAUUCAGAACGCGGAUCGGAAUUUCUACCGCAACUCGGAACCGUAUACUUUAGCCUGGGGUACAUUCUGCUGGCCGGAAUAAUUGUAGUCAGCAAAAAUAGACGUUAUAUUUCUGAAGUGUAUACCGUAAAUUUUUUUUCUGAUAUUAAACAAAUUGCGAAGGUGAUCCAUAAUUUUGAUUUUUCAUCAGAUGAUGCCGUACCAACCGCGUUGUUGUUCAGGUUAUGAAAUUAUGCGAGAAUAAUUUCAAUUUUUGAUAAAUUAAUUUUACGCAAUUACGGACGGCAUUUAUAAUAGCUGUAAACUCAUGUGUUCGGACUGAUCAAUUCACGGUGAAGAUGAAAAAACAUGGUAUAAAUUCUUUCGAAAGGUACAUCUUUAUAUAUGUACUUGUAAUAUUAUCUUUCGAACGUCGUAUGCGCUAACGUCACGACAAUGUAAAUAUACACAAUUCCUGCUUUCUCGCCAUAAUUAUCCGUCUUAUUGUUACAUUAAUUCAUUUCAAUGUUGUUGACUCGCUCAAAAUAAUUAUUGACAAUCGGGAUAUAAUUAUAAAUUAUUAUUGAUCCGUUAUAACAGCACGAUACGGUGCAAAAUCGGUCGUACCUAAAUUGAUUUUUGUUAAAAUAAAAAACACUGUAAUCUAACUAUUUAUGUAACACAAAAAUGAACAAUCUUCGAUAACAUUUUGACUCGGUGCUUUUUUCUGUACUUUUAAUCAACGGGGCGCAUGGGGUUGCAAAAAAUAGUAGAAAAGGUUGCUCGUAAUUGUUCCAUAAAUAUAAUUCACAUAGUUGAUAAGCUCGGGUAAAAAUAAACACAAACAUGUUGUUCCGCCGCUAUUUUGUGCAGCGUGCGCGUGCGUGUUGAUCAAACACUCGCAAUAAAUAACCAAAUACCAGAGUCAGAUCAAUAGAAAUUUAUUAAAUAUUUACACAAGCGGCGCUUGCGACGACGCUAGGACGUACGUAGGUAGGCGCUUAGGUGCAAUCAAAUUGAUGAGAGCAAAAAAAUAGAGUGCGAAAAUAUCCCGUACGUGUACACGUAAUCAUGCCUAACGAAUGAUUUCCAGAAUUAUUCAAAUGUAUACUUUUUUUUUUUUUUGCUAUAAAAUUGUUAUUCAUAAAAAGGAAUUGUUCGAUAGAAUCUGUCGUACGUUGCUCGUAUACGUAUAUACCCAGACACCAAGUAUAAUGUAAUUGUGCAAUCAAUAAUUAUAUCUUGACGUAUACUUGCCCGAGGAUUAUGAUUACAUACACACAUCGAACCUUCGCUUUUUCUAGUUACAAAUUUGAUGAAUAUGUAUAAUUACCGUGUGAUUAUUGUCCUUCAUUUUUACCAUAGUAACCUCAUUCUUAGUUUUAUCAUAGCCUCAUUUCUUGCGAUUAAAUCCAACGUGAUUUAUUACCGAGAACUUGGAUAAUUCGAAUUGUUAUUUUUUAUACAUAUAAUGUAUUUACGUGAACCAAUUCAAUAUUGAACAUAGAACCGUAGAUAUAUCGAACUAGAACUGAAUUUCAGGGAUCCUCUUAAGCCCCCGAUAAUUCCAUUUUUUCAGUUCAUGGUGAAACGCGAUUCUGAUAUCGCAUAAUAUUUGAAUAAUUGAAAUCUCAGUGGAACUGACAAUAAAUCCUGAAGAAUUUCACCAAUUUGGAACAUCUGCGGCCUUACGAACGUAUAGGUACGUCUAUGUGGAAUGCGAGUCUCCUUAUGCAUGUGCAAUAUAAUUUAUGCAUUCUAAUCAAAGUGCCUCGAGGAUGUAAUUAUCACGUAAAAUCUUCAUUGAUAUAUGUAUACGGCAUACGCAUGUAAGUACAUUCGGAGUGCUGAAAAGCUAGUAUUUCUGUAACUGCAUAGUCACAGUGUAAAUUUCAGAUACCUAGAAUUCUCGUGACGUAUGGAAUAGAGCCCGUGGGGUCUUGCGAUGGUUGGGUAUAAAAACAGUCGCAAGUCUUAAAUAAAACAUGAGAGACAGCUGUAAACGCAAGCGAAAAAGCGAAUCAUCCCAUAGGUGUAUUUACGGAGACUCAGAAUUUCUCGGAUUAUAAAUAUAUUUGCACCUGAAAACUGGAAGCUCCCGCGAGUCCUCCCGCAAAUUUAAAUUCUUGCUGCCGUAAGACAAAUCGUACGUCAUAAUCUUUUCACGUAUUUAUCGAUUUAUUUAGUUAAUUUUAAUCCAACGACAUAUCGCGUGACGCAAUUAUAAAAUUGAGAGAUCCAACCGGUGUGCCUAGAUUCUGAGGAAAAAAAGAAGAAAACUAUAGGCACGUAUGUAUAAUUGCAACGUUCGUCAAAGUUAAAAUAAGAAAAAAAACAAAACAAAACAAAAAAAAACAAUCUCUCUCAACUACGCGGUGUUCCGAGUCGGAUUUAAGAAAGAGCAAAAAUGAAAUAAAGAAUAGAAAAACGUCACGAACGUAAGGCACAUACUCGUACUUGUUCUCUCUCCGCUUCUUUUAUUUGUAUAAUCGCGUGCGGUAUAUAGAUAUAACACAUGAAAUAAUGCAACAUUAUUCCUUACAAUAGUUACAGUCACGUUAAAUCCACAGCAAUUAGCAAUAAAUCAUUAUUUUUUGAUAAUACAUCAUUAUAAUCUUUCAACGAGUAUUUUUUUCAUUUUUCUAUUAACAGGCUUAUAGGUGUACCGAUUCUUGAGAACCCGCGUGUAUAAUAUUGUGACAUUAUGCAUACUUCCGUAAAUAAUAUCCUGCACUUCAUCCGUUGCGUUUGCAGAAGGCUUGUAGUUUUCAUAAUCCUAAAAUCUAACACCGCAGUGUCCAUCGCAGUGAACGAAUUCUACUGUAAUUGCACAAUUUUUCUCAAUUCGAUUUUUUUAAAUAAACGAAUUACCUUUAUCAUCUAUCGGAUGUUUCGUUUCACGAUUUGACAGCUCAUUGUCAGUAGUCGAUAUAUCAUCAGUGGAUAAUUGUUUUCAACUUUUUUUUAAAUUGUAAUAUUCUAGUUGCCGAUUGAACAUGGUCUGUAACAACGCCGCCGCGGUAUUCAUACGCGCGUAUUAAAAAAAGCCAGAGACUUUUGACAAAAAGGAAAAAAGAAAUAAAAAAUCUAAUCACGAGUGAAAUCCGGCUUUUAAUAUUUCAGUUUUAUGGCUUGGGUCCCAUCGUAACGAGCUUUUAAAACUAACUACGUAGAUGCGAAUUUCUAUAUACUAUAAUGACGCGGGCGCGCUCUUUUUUUUUUUCUCUGGCCAAGAUUCGAAGGCCCCGGAGAAUUCACCCCAAGGAUCUGCACGGUAUAUUACCGGUUCAUCACCCAUUACAGCUGUACACCCUAUAUGCAAAAAGAGAAGAAAAAGGCCGAAACUAAAAACUCAUCAUCAUUAUCGUAGAUUCAAGUAUAUACUUCAUGUACAUAUAUUGUAUGUACAUACACAUAGGUACGAAGUAAUGUAACUGAAAAAUAAGUCCAGAUAUGCCACAACAUCCGAAGGUAUUUCCGGCCAGACGUCUUGCCCUUAUAUUACAAGGUAAUAUAUCUUCAAGGAGAUCGAUCUGGCGGAGGUCCGGGUAAACGAGAGAAUAAAAAGAAAGUCGCGCGCUGUGCAGGGGAUUUCGUUUCCACCGCGAUCACAGAUGAGGAGAUCAACGAGGAAAAAGAGUGGAGAAAAAACCUGGACGUUUUGACGAGGCAAUCUACGAUGCAAGAAAUAAAUUGUUUCGGUGUACACACGUAUUAUAUUCGACAAAAAUUCUGACGUGCGCGGCGAUGGCUACAAUCAUAAUAAGCCCCGUCGUACCGCUAUUAUAAAAUCGCGAUUAAAAAAUAGCGAACUUGUGCGGCGAGUAAAUUCUACAGCCAAUUAAGAUCGAUGAAAAAAGUUCUUGUUCGAAUGAAUCUCCAGACUGUAAUAAUGGAUUGAAGAGACGGAAAUAAAGUCGGUCUCAUUUAACUCUACCGGCCAAAUAUUGUCUUUUUGAUCAUUUCUAUUAUGAAUUACACCUGUACGGUAUUCCGAAUUGUGGGAAAUUGUGGGCGUUCGCCGAUGUGUAAUCAGUGAUUAAAGGUGGCCGCACUCGUGGCAACAACCGCGAGACACUCGGAUCCACCAAUCAGAACAAAAUCAAUAAUGGUUUGAACGUCGCAAUGUACGUACGUAUUUCGCGGUGCACGUGAAACACGAGAUACAGGUGUGCCGUUCGGGAUUCGAUUCUGGGUGGGUAGAAAUUCUGUAAAUUUUGUCUUCACAAUGUAAGUCUAAAAAUAAUAUCGUCACAUGCCGAUCGUGAUAUGGAUAUUACCGGUGCUUAUCUUUGCAGCAAGCAACUAAACGGGCUGAAUACUUUACUCUUAAUGACGCAAUUGUCAAUAACAGGUUGACUUAGACAUAGGAUCUGUACAAGAGUGAGAUUGAAAAAAGACGAAAACCUAAAAAGAAGCCAAAUCCGGCACUCUAGUGACGCAAAUCGGUGCCUGGAAAGGAUGAUAAAAUUAAAAAAAAAAAAAAAAAAAAAAAAAAAAUAGAAAAGAAACUGGAUUCAACCGCAAGAUGGGUGUGUCUGUUAGUUGCUAAAAAAAAAAAAAAAAAUUCUUCAAAAAGAAAAAGACGUUUGAGAGGCUGCUAAACUUGUAUCUAAAGAGAUCAAGACCACGUAUUCGCGAUCAGGUGAGAACGUUUAUCAACGAAAUUAUAACGUUCAAGGCUAUACGUGCAUGUUGAUACAUAGUUACGUUGACGAACCAACGUAAUUACCUACCUACCUAUCCCGAAAACUGUAGUCAAUGGAAUCGGACACUCGAAAUACCAAGAGUUUUGAUCCGACCACAUUCGAAUUUGAUCAAGAUCUAUCAAUUGGUAGUUGAAACACAUACAUGUAUAUUUAAUGCCAAAGUAAUUGAAAUAGGACAAUUUUCUCCUUCUUUUUGCAGACUCAACCUUGAAGACACUAUACAAUAUCUUUAAAAUUGUCGUAUGGUUUUCUUUCAGAUUUGACACGAAGGUUUCUACCCGCGCGUAUCCUCAUUCGGAUGCGCAUACCCGUAUAAUAUGCUUGAAUUUGCUCGAUCGAUCAGGCAACUCAGCUUUGCAUUGAUUUUAUGUUACUCGGCAUCCUAUAUUGGAUUAACUUGUCACGCACUUUUUUUCUCUCCGAAUAUUAUAGGCGCGCCGUUCAUAAAUCAUCGUCGGCACAUUUGGUAUACGUGUAGGUACAGCACCGGCGUGGAUCUGACCAAGGAAAUAUUUAUCCCGUUCAAGAUGAAAUAUCCGCUUCGUAAUAAUUGACAUACAAUAAUUAUGAUAGCUGCACCUAUCGUACACAGCGCGUGUGUUUCAGUUGAUUUUUUGAUCAUUCACUUCUUCGAAAAACAUUUGUUCAGGGGUCUUUUAUUGCUGGUAAAGUUUGUCGGGAUUCAACCGCGAAUUUCAAGUUCGCUGGUAUUUUUUUAUUUAUUUAUUUUUUUCUUUUGAUUCUUACUCACGUAUCCGACGAAAUAUGCGUAAAAAUGAAACAGGAUGUGUAGAAACAUGCGAUGUUCCAUAAGGUUUGUAUCAAAAUUUGAGAUUGAGAAAAGGAAAUUAAGUAUAGAAUGGGGCGGAUGGGGUUGAAUCAUAUGAAUGAAUGCGAUAAUUUCGUGGACCCGAAUCGAUGAAUUGUAUUUUAUUGUACAGAAUUCGUGGGAACCCAGUCUUUUCUCAUAUAUUAAACCGUAAGAUUUUCAAGGUUUGUGUGAAACGAACGGCGCGUCCACCUUGAGAUUCUUUAUACAUGAAAAGAGUAAUGAAAAUUGAUAUAUAGUGGUCAUGGGGUUCGGUUGAAAAAAAGCAAAAUUAACCUUGAUGAUUGGUAAAAAACUUUUUUGACACAUAUGAGGAGGUAUAGGAUGAGUUCAAUGAAUCAUUCAACACUUUCCAUAUAAAUUUGUCCGUACACGUUAAAAUUCGUAGUAUUCGUUCGUUGGAAUAUAUGGCGAGUCAUUUUUUUCAAACACGAAUAUAUGCAGAAUCACAGGAACUUUUAAGGUUUGCCGUAAGCCAAUUUUCCACAUUUAACCGUCGAAAAAGUGAAUCAUGCAUUUCAUUCGUCCAUAAUUUGUAUUAAACAUCAUUCUCUACAUAAAUGCGAGGUCUGGAAACGAGGCGAGUUUACAGAGGAUAAACCGUCGGGGGGCAAUUAAAAAUGAUUUAAAUAUAGUCUGCAUGGCGUGGUUUGUCUAACCAAUUAAUCUCGCGCUCGAUAAGGAACUUGAUUACUGUGCAUAAAAAGUUACAGGGUCAGAAGGGUUAUCAACGGUAUAUACAACGAAUCUGUAUUCGUUACGAACAUCACACAUUUCUGCGGAAGGAUCAUCAGAUUCCCAGCUAUGUGUGAUGAAACAUUUUCAGAUGUUAUAAAUUCACAUGCGGUGCGCCACGUUAUUUUCUGUCGAUAGCUGCGUCAGGAAAUUACAGGAGAGAUAGAUGUUCAUGUACAGUGCAUACUCGUGCACGUCGAUUAUCACGCGGUAAUUUUUAUCUCUUUCCAGCGGUCGCUUGACAACCUUUGACACAAGCCGUGUCUGCUACGUUAAUUAUUUUCGUCCGAAUAAGAGACGGGGGACAUUUUGAAACUGGAGAAUGGCGGUCAAUGUUUCAGACAAAUACUGAUUACACAGAUCGCCGGUCGGAUUUGACGGUUAUAUAGAAUUGUACCGCGAGAAACCGUUGAAGAGUCAAUGGUACGAAUUUCAAAUAACGUAAUUUAUCGGGUCAGAUCGAAUCGAUAACGCGAUUCAUCUCGUAAGAUGAGGUUAAUCCACGUGGGUCACGCAAUUACGAAUGCAGACGACACGUUUCAUUAUGAAACUGUAACGCAUGAUCGCUGAGAAUAUCACGCCAACUCCGCAAUAUAAUCUACUACACGUGGAGAUACGAACUCAAUCGUGGUUGAGUAGAACGAAAUGUAAGACUAUACAAAUCGAGUACUUCACAUUCACGGGGCAAUGGCCCAUAAUCGAAAGUUUAUUUUGGUUGAGAAAAAAAAGGGGGAUCUCCCCUGUCUGGAUUGUGUAUACUACGCUGCCGACGGGGGUAUUCGAGAUGGGUUUUCCCUGAGAAAGUACAUGUGAUCAAUUAACCGAUCCACCAAACAUCGGGGCGACCGACGUACCAAACUUGGGGCAAGAGACCAGCGGAGUCGCUGACAUUCACAUUGGUUCGCGCACAAAUGGUACAAAAAUUGGGUCAAGUUUGCGAUCUCUCUUUUUGCAGGCAUCGCGGUGCAGUAAUAUAGUUACGACGUAUAGCAUAUGCGUAUUAAGUUUUUUAACGAUCGAACGAUCGUCGUAAAUUAACGAACGUGGUUCUUUCACCUAUUCGCGAAUCACGUCUCAUAUAUAUGACGUAUUUCUUACACGUCGUGAUAUGCGAAAUAAACAAAGUCGAUCGGUAAAAAUGAUCAACAACAAUUGUUUAUUUUGUUGAUGUUUUUCGACCAAAAUCUAAUCUCUCGCUUACGAGUAAUUUCCCAGAUGUAGAAUUGCUAUGUACGGGACUUCCGUUGAAUCCAUCAAUAUAAAAUUUAUACCUCGCCGUUUUACGGCUCCAACCUUGACGCUUUGUCUCGAUUUCGAUGAUUUGCAGAAAUUUUGUGACAAGUUUUCAGGAUUGAUCUGAGAAAAUGCACCGCGAACUGUGAUAUCGUAUAGAUUUCCUGAUGUUAUCGACUUGCAGUCGUUUGGUUCUUGCGAAAUGUAGAUAAAGGGUUCAAAAAUCAGAGUUGAUGUAUAUAUAAAUAGAAUUAUCAACAAAUCUUAUCGCGCUAAUAGGUAUUUACUUUUCACGUUGUAAUCUCAUAAUAUGCCAACGGAUGAAAAACUAUGUCAGCUGAUGGAAGGACGUAAUUGAUUAAAUUGAUCAAAUUAGAAAUAGGUCAAGUGUAUUUUGAGGACCCCUAGCUGUAUUAAAAUGCACACGAGUCAUUCACUUCCUAACCUGUAGUAGUUACCAUACUGCAGACUGACACUCUCAUUAUCAGCAUCCCGAAACGGUAGAAAAUGAUAAUCAUCAAGGAACAAUCAAAUCUGCGAAUUUAGGUACACGACCGCAGUAUGUAAUACAGGAUGAAGACCAGGGGAUAAAAAACAUUCAUGUAUCGUCAUACCAACGUAUCGGACUAAAAGUAUUGGUAUAGCGUAGAUAUAUUGAACUUUGUAGUGUUUGAUCGAUGAGUUAAUCGAAGUGAUUAAUUUCUCCCAUUUUAUAGUGAAAUCCAGAGAAUAUGUCUCCAUAAAUCUUUGCAGAGUUGACUAAUCCAUACGGCACGAGUAUGAUGUACUUGCGAUUUUGCUUUAUAAGUUGAUUCACCGCCCAAGCCAAAAAACUAUAACCGGCAGUAAUAAAUAUCGCGAUGCAAAUUAGCGAGUGAAUUAUUAGAACACUUCAAGAAAUGAACAGGAGAUUAAUGAAAUCGACUGGUGCGAUGUGCACAUAUUCAUGAAAUAUAUAAAAUUAACGCGACAGGCUUGAAUAGUUUCACAAAAUUUAGUUGUAAUGCGGAUCUAAUUGAAGAUAAAAAAUAAGAUAUAUAGAUAAGAAAGGCGAUCAGCAAGCCGAAAAUGUACUCCAUUGAAUAAUUUAACACUGCUUUGACUCAUUUAUUUUACUCAAAUGAAAGGAGUUGUAAGAAAAGGUCUUAACUUGGCGCUACCAAAUUAAUUCUCGGAUGGUCCUAAAAAGUGGAAUCAGGGUAAGUUCAGUUUCUCAAAUGAAAUACACCAUGUACUCUGCAUAUCAGAAUCGAAUAGAGUGGAAAAUUUUAUGCGAAGAAUAAUGUUGACCUAUUUUCAUUUACCUAAAGUCAUAAUAUAGAUACAGCGAUAAGGUAUCUGUAACUGUUGGAACAAUCUGAAUCUAGAUGGUAUGCUCAAAGUUUCCAUUUGAUGAAACUGAAACUUUUUCAAUUCAAUGUUGAUUGAGAGAAUAUUGUAUGUGCAUGUAUAGUAUUCUAUGUGUGUCAAUUACUGAUCGAAAUGAAAGACUUGCAAUUUU